This 68-nucleotide transfer RNA is filed under the name Muntiacus putaoensis (Leaf deer). RNAcentral describes it as "tRNA-Val". It matches the Rfam family "tRNA". Rfam says of the family: Transfer RNA (tRNA) molecules are approximately 80 nucleotides in length. Their secondary structure includes four short double-helical elements and three loops (D, anti-codon, and T loops). Lineage: Eukaryota; Metazoa; Chordata; Mammalia; Artiodactyla; Cervidae. The record is from RNAcentral.
CAAGAUAUAGCUUAAAUAAAGCACCUAGUUUACACCUAGAAGAUUUCACCAUACUAUGAAUAUCUUGA